AUUGAACGCUGGCGGCAUGCUUUACACAUGCGAGUCGAACGGUAACAGGCCUUCGGGUGCUGACGAGUGGCGAACGGGUGAGUAAUGCAUCGGAACGUACCCAGAGGUGGGGGAUAACGCAGCGAAAGCUGUGCUAAUACCGCAUGUGAUCUGGGGAUGAAAGCGGGGGACCGAGCAGCAAUGUUUGGCCUCGCGCCUUUGGAGCGGCCGAUGUCGGAUUAGCUAGUUGGUGGGGUAAAGGCCUACCAAGGCGACGAUCCGUAGCUGGUCUGAGAGGACGACCAGCCACACUGGGACUGAGACACGGCCCAGACUCCUACGGGAGGCAGCAGUGGGGAAUUUUGGACAAUGGGCGCAAGCCUGAUCCAGCAAUGCCGCGUGCGGGAAGAAGGCCUUCGGGUUGUAAACCGCUUUUGGCAGGAACGAAACGGUGUCCGCUAAUACCGGGCGCUAAUGACGGUACCUGCAGAAUAAGCACCGGCUAACUACGUG
RNAcentral lists this ribosomal RNA (492 nucleotides) under uncultured bacterium. RNAcentral's name for it is "partial 16S ribosomal RNA". It matches the Rfam family "Bacterial small subunit ribosomal RNA", at positions 29 to 507 of the family's 1533-position model. The record is from RNAcentral.